This 500-nucleotide ribosomal RNA is filed under the name uncultured bacterium. Its description in RNAcentral is "partial 16S ribosomal RNA". It matches the Rfam family "Bacterial small subunit ribosomal RNA", at positions 30 to 523 of the family's 1533-position model. The record is from RNAcentral.
AUUGAACGCUGGCGGAAUGCUUUACACAUGCAAGUCGAACGGCAGCACGGACUUCGGUCUGGUGGCGAGUGGCGAACGGGUGAGUAAUACAUCGGAACGUGCCCAGUCGUGGGGGAUAACGUAGCGAAAGCUACGCUAAUACCGCAUACGAUCUAAGGAUGAAAGCGGGGGAUCGCAAGACCUCGCGCGAUUGGAGCGGCCGAUGGCAGAUUAGGUAGUUGGUGGGGUAAAGGCUCACCAAGCCGACGAUCUGUAGCUGGUCUGAGAGGACGACCAGCCACACUGGGACUGAGACACGGCCCAGACUCCUACGGGAGGCAGCAGUGGGGAAUUUUGGACAAUGGGCGCAAGCCUGAUCCAGCCAUUCCGCGUGCAGGAUGAAGGCCCUCGGGUUGUAAACUGCUUUUGUACGGAACGAAAAGGCCCUGGUUAAUACCUGGGGCUCAUGACGGUACCGUAAGAAUAAGCACCGGCUAACUACGUGCCAGCCGCCGCCGUAA